AUUGAACGCUGGCGGCAGGCCUAACACAUGCAAGUCGAGCGGUAACACAGAGGAGCUUGCUCCUUGGGUGACGAGCGGCGGACGGGUGAGUAAUGCCUGGGGAUCUGCCCGAUAGAGGGGGAUAACUACGGGAAACUGUAGCUAAUACCGCAUAAUGUCUACGGACCAAAGUGGGGGCUCUUCGGACCUCAUGCUAUCGGAUGAACCCAGGUGGGAUUAGCUAGUUGGUGAGGUAAUGGCUCACCAAGGCGACGAUCUCUAACUGGUUUGAGAGAAUGACCAGUCACACUGGAACUGAGACACGGUCCAGACUCCUACGGGAGGCAGCAGUGGGGAAUAUUGCACAAUGGGCGCAAGCCUGAUGCAGCCAUGCCGCGUGUGUGAAGAAGGCCUUCGGGUUGUAAAGCACUUUCAGCGGGGAGGAAGGGUCACUAGUUAAUACCUAGUGGCAUUGACGUUACUCGCAGAAGAAGCACCGGCUAACUCCGUGCCAGCAGCCGCGGUAAUACGGAGGGUGCAAGCGUUAAUCGGAAUUACUGGGCGUAAAGCGCACGCAGGCGGUUUGUUAAGUCAGAUGUGAAAUCCCCGAGCUCAACUUGGGAACUGCAUUUGAAACUGGCAAGCUAGAGUCUUGUAGAGGGGGGUAGAAUUCCAGGUGUAGCGGUGAAAUGCGUAGAGAUCUGGAGGAAUANC
This 693-nucleotide ribosomal RNA is filed under the name uncultured prokaryote. RNAcentral's name for it is "bacterial SSU rRNA". It matches the Rfam family "Bacterial small subunit ribosomal RNA", at positions 28 to 710 of the family's 1533-position model. The record is from RNAcentral.